RNAcentral lists this ribosomal RNA (531 nucleotides) under Bruchidius lineatopygus. RNAcentral's name for it is "partial 16S ribosomal RNA". It matches the Rfam family "Bacterial large subunit ribosomal RNA", at positions 1807 to 2608 of the family's 2925-position model. Lineage: Eukaryota; Metazoa; Arthropoda; Insecta; Coleoptera; Chrysomelidae. The record is from RNAcentral.
UCAAAAACAUGUCCUAUUGUAAAUGAUUUUAGGUUUGACCUGCCCCCUGAAUUUUUAAAUGGCCGCGGUAUUUUGACCGUGCUAAGGUAGCAUAAUAAUUAGUUUCUUAAUUAGAAGCUUGUAUGAAUGGUUUUAUAAGAAAAUGGCUGUCUCUAUCUAAAUAUAUUUGAAUUUUAUUUUUUAGUAAAAAAGCUUAAAUAGUUUUAAAAGACGAGAAGACCCUAUAGAGUUUUAUAAUAAAUUAUUUUAAUAUUUUUUAGAAUUUUUUAUUUUUAAAUUAUUUUUAUUAUUUAAUUGGGGUGAUUGAAAAAUUAAAUAAACUUUUUUUUAUAUUUUACAUAGAUUUAUGAAAUAAUGAUCCAUUUUUUAUGAUUAAAAGUUUAAAUUACCUUAGGGAUAACAGCGUAAUUUUUUCAAAGAGUUCUUAUCGAAGAAAAAGAUUGCGACCUCGAUGUUGGAUUAAAAAUAAUUUUUGGUGUAGAAGCUGAGUAAGUUAGGUCUGUUCGACCUUUAAAAUUUUACAUGAUCUGA